Molecule: non-coding RNA, 28 nt
Filed under: Cricetulus griseus (Chinese hamster)
Lineage: Eukaryota; Metazoa; Chordata; Mammalia; Rodentia; Cricetidae
Source: RNAcentral
GUAAGGUUUCUACCUAAGGGGCUAGUGG